AGUGACCCUGGCUGGGAAGCAGGGAGGCCUGGAUAUUGUUUCUCCUGGCUCUGUGUCUUGCCAUUCUCGUCCCUGUGCUCAGAGCUCUCAAGCACCCACGAUGGCCUUCUCAGGCCGAGCGCGCCCCUGCGUUAUCCCAGAGAACGAAGAAAUCCCCCGAGCAGCCCUUAACAGUGUCCACGAGGCCAAUGGGACCGAGGACGAGAGGGCUGUUUCCAAACUGCAGCGCAGGCACAGUGACGUGAAAGUCUACAAGGAGUUCUGUGACUUUUAUGCGAAAUUCAACAUGGCCAACACCCUGGCCAGCGCCACUUGCGAGCGCUGCAAGGGCGGCUUUGCGCCCUCUGAGAAGAUCGUGAACAGUAAUGGGGAGCUGUACCAUGAGCAGUGUUUCGUGUGCGCUCAGUGCUUCCAGCAGUUCCCAGAAGGACUCUUCUAUGAGUUUGAAAGAAGAAAGUACUGUGAACAUGACUUUCAGAUGCUCUUUGCCCCUUGCUGUCAUCAGUGUGGUGAAUUCAUCAUUGGCCGAGUUAUCAAAGCCAUGAAUAACAGCUGGCAUCCGGAGUGCUUCCGCUGUGACCUCUGCCAGGAAGUUCUGGCAGAUAUCGGGUUUGUCAAGAAUGCUGGGAGACACCUGUGUCGCCCCUGUCAUAAUCGUGAGAAAGCCAGAGGCCUUGGGAAAUACAUCUGCCAGAAAUGCCAUGCUAUCAUCGAUGAGCAGCCUCUGAUAUUCAAGAACGACCCCUACCAUCCAGACCAUUUCAACUGCGCCAACUGCGGGAAGGAGCUGACUGCCGAUGCACGGGAGCUGAAAGGGGAGCUAUACUGCCUGCCAUGCCAUGAUAAAAUGGGGGUCCCCAUCUGUGGCGCUUGCCGACGGCCCAUCGAAGGGCGCGUGGUGAACGCCAUGGGCAAGCAGUGGCAUGUGGAGCAUUUUGUUUGUGCCAAGUGUGAGAAACCCUUUCUUGGACAUCGCCAUUAUGAGAGGAAAGGCCUGGCGUAUUGUGAAACUCACUAUAACCAGCUAUUUGGUGAUGUUUGCUUCCACUGCAAUCGUGUUAUAGAAGGUGACGUGGUCUCUGCUCUUAAUAAGGCCUGGUGCGUGAACUGCUUUGCCUGUUCUACCUGCAACACUAAAUUAACACUCAAAUGGUGCGCUCCUGGAGGGCAGGGACCAUACCAUGUCUGUCUUUUUCACUGCAGCACCCAAGCUGAACUCAGGCCCUGGAACAAGAACUCUGGAGGUGGCUGUCCAUGCUGACCCAGGCUGUCCCCAUAGCCAUCAGCCAGCACCUGUCCUGCUGUCCCAGAGUCUCAGUAGCUGACUUCUGUCCUCAAUGCUGUCUCUGGACCCCAGAGGGCUGUGCUUCAGAGAUAGGAAGAGGAGAGAAGGAAGGACCAAGACCUGCUCAGCUGUACCUUCUGCCAGAAAGUGGGCCUGCUGUGCACGCUUCAGGGUAAGCUGCAGCCCCAGGACUGGACGUUGUUGGACGAACUGCUGCAGGGCCUGCAAACACUGCUGCUCAUGAUUUUGUGGCAGGCCUCCCAUGGCCUCCUCCUGCGCUACCAUGUGGAGGCCCUAACCCUGCGUCGCAUCAAUAGCUUCCGCCAGUACAAGUAUGACCUGGUGGCAGUGGGCAAGGCUUUGGAGGGCAUGUUCUGCAAGCUCAACCACCUCCUGGAACACCUGCACCAGCUGUUCUUCCUCUACCUGCUCCCCACUCUGUCCCGCUUCGUCUCCAUCGGCCUCUACAUGCCCGCCACCAGCUUCUUGCUCCUGGUCCUUGGUUUCAAGGCUCUGCAACUGUGGAUGCAGCUGCAUGAGGCCGGAGUGGGCCUUGAGGAGCUCAGGGGGGCCCCUGACCCUAGUGUCCCCCCUCCCCCAGCACAGGGUGGUAAGCACACAGGUCCCAGACAGGAGCUGGAUGGCUCUGAAGCUGGUAGCCCUGAUCUACCUAGUACUGCAGCUGGGCUGCAUCGCCCUCACCAACUUCUGACUGGACUUCCUGCUGGCCGCCACUAUGGUGCUGCUGCUGUGCUCGCCGAGCCUUUGGGCCCUGGACCCUCUAUGCUGCCCUGCUGGUGUUGACAAGCCCGGCAGCCACGCUCCUUGGCAGCCCAUUCCUGUGGUGGGAGCUGCAGGAGGCACCACUGUCACUGGCCGAGGGCUGGCAGCUCUUCCUGGCAGCACUGGCCCAGGGUGUGCUGGAGCACCACACCUAAGGCGCCCUGCUCUUCCCACUGCUGUCCCUGGGCCUCUACCCUUGCUGACUACUUUUCUGGAAUGUGCUCUUCUGGAAGUGAGAUCUGCCUGUCCAGGGCACCAGGCUGGGACAGAGACUCCCCAAGGACCCCAUUCUGCCUCCUUCUGGGGAAAUAAACAAGUGCCUGUUUCAGCUGCUUAAAAAAAAAAUACAAAAAAAAAAAUGCCCUGGAAAAUACUGUGUUAGCAAAAAGAUUUAAAGAUUGGUAUAAUUCUGA
Pan troglodytes (chimpanzee) is the source of this 2481-nucleotide RNA transcript. It is a transcript of the gene named LIM and senescent cell antigen-like-containing domain protein 3, with no coding region annotated. NCBI's taxonomy places the organism in Eukaryota, Metazoa, Chordata, Mammalia, Primates, Hominidae. The transcript has 12 exons. The record is from RefSeq and is a predicted model, not a curated record.